This 497-nucleotide ribosomal RNA is filed under the name uncultured bacterium. RNAcentral's name for it is "partial 16S ribosomal RNA". It matches the Rfam family "Bacterial small subunit ribosomal RNA", at positions 28 to 507 of the family's 1533-position model. The record is from RNAcentral.
GAUGAACGCUGGCGGCGUGCCUAAUACAUGCAAGUCGAGCGAACGGACGAGAAGCUUGCUUCUCUGAUGUUAGCGGCGGACGGGUGAGUAACACGUGGAUAACCUACCUAUAAGACUGGGAUAACUUCGGGAAACCGGAGCUAAUACCGGAUAAUAUUUUGAACCGCAUGGUUCAAAAGUUAAAGACGGUCUUGCUGUCACUUAUAGAUGGAUCCGCGCUGCAUUAGCUAGUUGGUAAGGUAACGGCUUACCAAGGCAACGAUGCAUAGCCGACCUGAGAGGGUGAUCGGCCACACUGGAAAUGAGACACGGUCCAGACUCCUACGGGAGGCAGCAGUAGGGAAUCUUACGCAAUGGGCGAAAGCCUGACGGAGCAACGCCGCGUGAGUGAUGAAGGUCUUCGGAUCGUAAAACUCUGUUAUUAGGGAAGAACAUAUGUGUAAGUAACUGUGCACAUCUUGACGGUACCUAAUCAGAAAGCCACGGCUAACUACGUG